UACGUAGGGAGCAAGCGUUGUCCGGAAUCAUUGGGCGUAAAGCGCGCGUAGGUGGCUUCGUAAGUCCGUUGUGAAAGUCAAAGGCUCAACCUUUGAAAGCCGAUGGAUACUGUGAAGCUAGAGUACGGAAGAGGCGAGUGGAAUUCCUGGUGUAGCGGUGAAAUGCGCAGAUAUCAGGAGGAACACCAAUGGCGAAGGCAGCACUCUGGGACGUGACUGACGCUGAGACGCGAAAGCGUGGGGAGCAAACAGG
This 253-nucleotide ribosomal RNA is filed under the name uncultured bacterium. RNAcentral describes it as "partial 16S ribosomal RNA". It matches the Rfam family "Bacterial small subunit ribosomal RNA", at positions 524 to 776 of the family's 1533-position model. The record is from RNAcentral.